AGAGUUUGAUCCUGGCUCAGGAUGAACGCUAGCGGCAGGCUUAAUACAUGCAAGUCGAGGGGCAGCGGAUUCCUUCGGGGAUGCCGGCGACCGGCGAACGGGUGAGUAACACGUAUGGAACCUACCUUUAACUGGGGAAUAGCCCCGAGAAAUCGGAGUUAAUACCCCAUAUAAUAAUGAAGGGACAUCCCUUUAUUAUGAAAGCUCCGGCGGUUAAAGAUGGCCAUGCGGUCCAUUAGCUUGUUGGUGAGAUAAAGGCUCACCAAGGCCACUAUGGAUAGCUGAUCUGAGAGGAUGAUCAGCCACAUUGGCACUGAGACACGGGCCAAACUCCUACGGGAGGCAGCAGUAGGGAAUCUUGGUCAAUAGGCGAAAGCCUGAACCAGCCAUGCCGCGUGCAGGAUGAAGGCCCUACGGGUCGUAAACUGCUUUUAUUCGGGAAGAAAAAGACUGUAUCCACAGUCCUUGACGGUACCGAAUGAAUAAGGACCGGCCAACUCCGUGCCAGCAGCCGCGGUAAUACGGAGGGUCCAAGCGUUAUCCGGAUUCACUGGGUUUAAAGGGUGCGCAGGCGGUCAGGUAAGUCAGUGGUGAAAGCCUUCGGCUCAACCGGAGAAUUGCCAUUGAAACUACUUGACUUGAGUGUAGUAGAGGUGGGCGGAAUGUAGCAUGUAGCGGUGAAAUGCAUAGAUAUGCUACAGAACACCGAUAGCGAAGGCAGCUCACCAUACUACGACUGACGCUGAGGCACGAAAGCAUGGGUAGCCAACAGGAUUAGAUACCC
RNAcentral lists this ribosomal RNA (784 nucleotides) under uncultured bacterium. RNAcentral's name for it is "bacterial SSU rRNA". It matches the Rfam family "Bacterial small subunit ribosomal RNA", at positions 8 to 787 of the family's 1533-position model. The record is from RNAcentral.